This 490-nucleotide ribosomal RNA is filed under the name uncultured bacterium. RNAcentral describes it as "partial 16S ribosomal RNA". It matches the Rfam family "Bacterial small subunit ribosomal RNA", at positions 30 to 507 of the family's 1533-position model. The record is from RNAcentral.
AUUGAACGCUGGCGGCAGGCCUAACACAUGCCAGUCGAACGGUAACAGGAAGAAGCUUGCUUCUUUGCUGACGAGUGGCGGACGGGUGAGUAAUGCCUGGGAAACUGCCUGAUGGAGGGGGAUAACUACUGGAAACGGUAGCUAAUACCGCAUAACGUCGCAAGACCAAAAAGGGGGACCUUCGGGCCUCUUGCCAUCGGAUGUGCCCAGAUGGGAUUAGCUAGUAGGUGGGGUAACGGCUCACCUAGGCGACGAUCCCUAGCUGGUCUGAGAGGAUGACCAGCCACACUGGAACUGAGACACGGUCCAGACUCCUACGGGAGGCAGCAGUGGGGAAUAUUGCACAAUGGGCGCAAGCCUGAUGCAGCCAUGCCGCGUGUAUGAAGAAGGCCUUCGGGUUGUAAAGUACUUUCAGCGGGGAGGAAGGGAGUAAAGUUAAUACCUUUGCUCAUUGACGUUACCCGCAGAAGAAGCACCGGCUAACUCCGUG